UACAAACUAGGGAAAUCAAAUUCAGAGAGAACAUCAGCUACUCAAUGUAGAAGGGAUGGGGUAAGAGAAGAGAACAAGCACUCCAACCCAGAUGUCCUACUAUCAAGUUUAUCUUCCAAUGGCCCCAAGAGAUAAAAAAUAUUGACAGAUGAAGAACCCA
This 160-nucleotide long non-coding RNA is filed under the name Fukomys damarensis (Damara mole-rat). RNAcentral describes it as "lncRNA (ENSFDAG00000022873.1)". The record is from RNAcentral. Lineage: Eukaryota; Metazoa; Chordata; Mammalia; Rodentia; Bathyergidae.